This 860-nucleotide ribosomal RNA is filed under the name uncultured archaeon. RNAcentral describes it as "bacterial SSU rRNA". It matches the Rfam family "Archaeal small subunit ribosomal RNA", at positions 56 to 922 of the family's 1478-position model. The record is from RNAcentral.
AGUCAUUGUAGCAAUACAAGGCAUACGGCUCAGUAACGCGUAGUCAACCUAACCUAUGGACGGGAAUAACCUCGGGAAACUGAGAAUAAUGCCCGAUAGAACAUUAUACCUGGAAUGGUUUAUGUUCCAAAUGAUUUAUCGCCGUAGGAUGGGACUGCGGCCUAUCAGUUUGUUGGUGAGGUAAUGGCCCACCAAGACUAUUACAGGUACGGGCUCUGAGAGGAGUAGCCCGGAGAUGGGUACUGAGACACGGACCCAGGCCCUAUGGGGCGCAGCAGGCGAGAAAACUUUGCAAUGUGCGAAAGCACGACAAGGUUAAUCCGAGUGAUUUCUGCUAAAGAAAUCUUUUGUUAGUCCUAGAAACACUAACGAAUAAGGGGUGGGCAAGUUCUGGUGUCAGCCGCCGCGGUAAAACCAGCACCUCAAGUGGUCAGGAUGAUUAUUGGGCCUAAAGCAUCCGUAGCCGGCUCUGUAAGUUUUCGGUUAAAUCUGUACGCUUAACGUACAGGCCGCCGGGAAUACUGCAAAGCUAGGGAGUGGGAGAAGUAGACGGUACUCGGUAGGAAGUGGUAAAAUGCUUUGAUCUAUCGAUGACCACCUGUGGCGAAGGCGGUCUACUAGAACACGUCCGACGGUGAGGGAUGAAAGCUGGGGGAGCAAACCGGAUUAGAUACCCGGGUAGUCCCAGCUGUAAACUAUGCAAACUCAGUGAUGCAUUGGCUUGUGGCCAAUGCAGUGCUGCAGGGAAGCCGUUAAGUUUGCCGCCUGGGAAGUACGUACGCAAGUAUGAAACUUAAAGGAAUUGGCGGGGGAGCACCACAAGGGGUGAAGCCUGCGGUUCAAUUGGAUUCAACGCCGGA